UACGUAGGGGGCAAGCGUUGUCCGGAGUUACUGGGCGUAAAGCGCGCGCAGGCGGCCGCCUAAGGCCGGCGUGAAAGCCCCCGGCUCAACCGGGGAGGGUCGUCGGCGACUGGGCGGCUUGAGGCCGGCAGGGGUCGGUGGAAUGCCCGGUGUAGUGGUGAAAUGCGUAGAGAUCGGGCGGAACACCCGUGGCGAAGGCGGCCGACUGGGCCGGGCCUGACGCUGAGGCGCGAAGGCGUGGGGAGCGAACGGG
RNAcentral lists this ribosomal RNA (253 nucleotides) under uncultured bacterium. Its description in RNAcentral is "partial 16S ribosomal RNA". It matches the Rfam family "Bacterial small subunit ribosomal RNA", at positions 524 to 776 of the family's 1533-position model. The record is from RNAcentral.